RNAcentral lists this long non-coding RNA (563 nucleotides) under Olea europaea (common olive). Its description in RNAcentral is "long non-coding RNA (OEUR_LNC014050)". The record is from RNAcentral. Lineage: Eukaryota; Viridiplantae; Streptophyta; Magnoliopsida; Lamiales; Oleaceae.
CCCUUCCCAACCAGCCCGCCCGAUCGAUCUUGUAAGAUCGGCUAAUUCAAAGGGGUUAAUCUGGUCCGAAGUUGUCGGAACAAAUCGUUUGCUUUAUCGAAAAAAGCUUGAUUUUGGUUGGACCCCUAUUUUCAACCAUUACAGCUGGCGUCGACCAGCUUUGCGAUACGGACGGACACGAAGAAGAACGCAGGCAGCGGAAAUGCAAAAGAGAAGAGCAAAGAUUCCCGACCCAGUUAUUGACUCAACCACAAAUCUGUUGAAUGAAGGUAGCUUGCUUACUCUCAGCCACUAGUUAGACGGAAAUCCCUUGACUUCGCUUAUGCCCUUAUGCAGUUAAAGAAAGCAAGUGAGGCGGGCUAAGAUUCCAUUCGAAGUAACAGGAUUCGAUGUUGCACCAUUUUCAACUCUUAUCGGGAUCCGGAGUUUUUCGAGAAAAGGUCCCAUCCUUCAAUAUCAUGAUUGGGUCGACCAGGCCAGAUCAUGAGUGAAUAGAAAAUCGAAAAUGUACAUAGCUGUUCCAGCUGAAAUACUUGGAAUAAUUCUACCACUUCUACUAGGAG